AUGGAACAACGAGACCUCCGUCGUUCCGCGGCCGCCGCCGCGCCUUACUAUCCAAUCAAGAAAGAGACUCUUUGUUUCUCAAAAAGAAAGAAAGAUCACCAUCAUCAAGUCAGCGGCGGCAUAACGGCGUCUAUCGCCGACGACGUGCUCGCCUACAUCUUCACCCGGUUGCCGGACAUGGCCACCGUUGUCCGCUGCGCCGCCACGUGCCGGCGCUGGGGCCACCUCGUGGCCACCAGAGCAGCGGUCAUCUCCCCCUGCAUGCCGCCCCUCAGCCGCUUCUUCCCCAACCUUGCCGUGGGUCUCUUCCACCAGGAGAAAGACUGGCCCACUACACGCACAAGGGACGAGCCAUCGCCGCGGCCGUGUUUUAUCGCAACGGCCUCAGGCACACGUUUCAUCCGUGGUGAUGGCCAGAGCUCUUUAGCUAAAUUGGUACUAGAUGGAGGCGACCGGCUUCUGGACCACUCCCGUCCCAUUGCAUCCCGGAAUGGCCGCCUCGUUCUCGAGCUCCGGCACAACCGCCGCCAGGAUUGUGCAUCUGAUGGUCUCCGGCUCGCCAUCUGCAACCCGAUGAUGCUUGACAAGAUCGAUGUCAUCCCGCCUUUGGUCUUAGUAGGCAAGAACGCUACAAAUAUACUGGACUACGGCUGCGCAUUGCUCACCGGCCACGACCUCAACCCUCCGUGCCACCAAGAUUUUUUCCACAUUCUGCUCAUCUACAACCACAAUCGUCCUAGCGGGCAGUCCACGGUGCUCCGAUGCUACUCCUCGGAUACGAGGCGCUGGGGACCAGAGACUGAAUCCAUUGUCAAGAUCUAG
RNAcentral lists this ribosomal RNA (822 nucleotides) under Triticum aestivum (bread wheat). Its description in RNAcentral is "partial small subunit ribosomal RNA". Lineage: Eukaryota; Viridiplantae; Streptophyta; Magnoliopsida; Poales; Poaceae. The record is from RNAcentral.